Pelobates cultripes (western spadefoot toad) is the source of this 300-nucleotide non-coding RNA. The record is from the annotation of a GenBank genome assembly. Lineage: Eukaryota; Metazoa; Chordata; Amphibia; Anura; Pelobatidae.
AUUUUUUGGGGGUGGGUUAAAAAGAUGAGCUUACAGGGUGCGGGGCCUGACAGCCAAGAUGGCCGGUUGCGCUUUCUAGGAGCUCCGGCAACACUGAGCGAAAAUAAGCAUAUCAUGAUCGAUUCGACACCCAACGAAGCUCUGUGUGCCCGGAGGUCUGAGCAGAAACAAGCAGGAAACCUGUCCCAUGCGAACACGCCACGAUAACGCUCUGUCCGGCCAUGCGGCCUAGCUUUGAGCGGGGCCAGGAGUCUGGGGGAGGCGGCAAAUUCCCCCGGCACAGGACACUCACUGCAGCCA